UGAGCUGGCGGCAGGCUUACACAUGCAAGUCGAGCGGAAACGAUGAUAGCUUGCUAUCAGGCGUCGAGCGGCGGACGGGUGAGUAAUACUUAGGAAUCUACCUAGUAGUGGGGGAUAGCUCGGGGAAACUCGAAUUAAUACCGCAUACGACCUACGGGAGAAAGGGGGCAACUUGUUGCUCUCGCUAUUAGAUGAGCCUAAGUCGGAUUAGCUAGAUGGUGGGGUAAAGGCCUACCAUGGCGACGAUCUGUAGCUGGUCUGAGAGGAUGAUCAGCCACACCGGGACUGAGACACGGCCCGGACUCCUACGGGAGGCAGCAGUGGGGAAUACUGGACAAUGGGGGCAACCCUGAUCCAGCCAUGCCGCGUGUGUGAAGAAGGCCUUUUGGUUGUAAAGCACUUUAAGCAGUGAAGAAGACUCCAUGGUUAAUACCCAUGGACGAUGACAUUAGCUGCAGAAUAAGCACCGGCUAACUCUGUGCCAGCAGCCGCGGUAAU
This 498-nucleotide ribosomal RNA is filed under the name uncultured bacterium. Its description in RNAcentral is "bacterial SSU rRNA". It matches the Rfam family "Bacterial small subunit ribosomal RNA", at positions 35 to 524 of the family's 1533-position model. The record is from RNAcentral.